AGUUCAAAGAAGAUGUUACUUUAUGAUGAAAAAUAUCAGAAUAACUAUUAUUCAAUUGAUCAAUAAUUUAUAUAUAAGGAUGAACUCAAUCGUCACACAAUUGAUUUUAGGAUAUAAUUCCCAAUAGUUCUUCACUCUAGAAGAAGAUCACCUCCACUUUUGGCAUGUAGAAGAGUGGGAUGCCCAACCCUUGGGCAUGGGAAAGAGGGGAGGCA
RNAcentral lists this long non-coding RNA (215 nucleotides) under Elaeis guineensis (African oil palm). Its description in RNAcentral is "long non-coding RNA (EGUI_LNC037085)". Lineage: Eukaryota; Viridiplantae; Streptophyta; Magnoliopsida; Arecales; Arecaceae. The record is from RNAcentral.